Nannospalax galili (Upper Galilee mountains blind mole rat) is the source of this 221-nucleotide small nucleolar RNA. Its record names the gene U3. It matches the Rfam family "Small nucleolar RNA U3". From Rfam's summary of the family: Small nucleolar RNAs (snoRNAs) are involved in the processing and modification of rRNA in the nucleolus. There are two main classes of snoRNAs: the box C/D class, and the box H/ACA class. Lineage: Eukaryota; Metazoa; Chordata; Mammalia; Rodentia; Spalacidae. The record is from Ensembl.
AAGACUAUACUUUCAGGGAUCAUUUAUAUAGUUCUUUACUAGAGAAGUUUCUCUGACUGUGUAAAGUACCAGAAACCACAAGGAGAAGACAUAACAUUCUCUACUGAGUGUAAAGCCAGAGAAGCCAGAUCCUGGUGCUGCUUCCCUGCAACUGCCACUUGUCAUUAAUAAUUGUUAUUCUCUCUUCCGGGAGUAGAGGAAGAGAAUGCAGUCUGAGUGAA